UGGUUAUUAAGAAACAACAAUAAAAUGGAAAAUCCUGUUUAUAACAUGCCCAACAGGAAACUGGGAUCAUUGUGAUGAGGGGCACAGAACUUGUGGCCUCUCUAUCAACAAAUUCCCUACAUGU
This is a small nucleolar RNA of Otolemur garnettii (small-eared galago), 124 nucleotides long. NCBI's taxonomy places the organism in Eukaryota, Metazoa, Chordata, Mammalia, Primates, Galagidae. The record is from Ensembl.